AACACCUGCACUAUUUGACGUUACCUACAGAAGAAAGCACCGGCUAACUCCGUGCCAGCAGCCGCGGUAAUACGGAGGGUGCGAGCGUUAAUCGGAAUUACUGGGCGUAAAGCGCAUGCAGGCGGCCUGUUAAGUCAGAUGUGAAAGCCCGGGGCGUUAACCUCGGAAUUGCAUUUGAAACUGGCAGGCUAGAGUCUUGUAGAGGGGGGUAGGAAUUUCAGGUGUAGCGGUGAAAUGCGUAGAGAUCUGAAGGAAUACCAGUGGCGAAGGCGGCCCCCUCGGACAAAGACUGACGCUCAGAUGCGAAAGCGGUGGGGAGCAAACAGGAUUAGAUACCCUGGUAG
RNAcentral lists this ribosomal RNA (344 nucleotides) under uncultured bacterium. RNAcentral's name for it is "bacterial SSU rRNA". It matches the Rfam family "Bacterial small subunit ribosomal RNA", at positions 457 to 793 of the family's 1533-position model. The record is from RNAcentral.